RNAcentral lists this long non-coding RNA (576 nucleotides) under Rattus norvegicus (Norway rat). Its description in RNAcentral is "long non-coding RNA NONRATT013758". Lineage: Eukaryota; Metazoa; Chordata; Mammalia; Rodentia; Muridae. The record is from RNAcentral.
GAACAGGCAUUGGAGGAUUGCCGUGGUCACACGAAGAAGCAGGUAUGUGAUGAUAUCAGCCGACGCUUGGCACUGCUUCACGAACAGUGGGAUGGAGGGAAGUUGUCAGUACCUGUAAAGAAGAGGAUGGCACUGCUGGUACAAGCCCUGUUUCUCUUCAGAACUUUUACACCACCAGUGGGAUACAGCAGAUGACAUUCAUCGAUCACUCAUGGUUGACCAUGUGACUGAGGUCAGUCAGUGGAUGGUGGGAGUUAAAAGAUUAAUUGCAGAAAAGAGGAGUCUAUCUUCAGAGGAGAACAAAGAAGAGACAUCUACAGUGGCACCUGAGAACCAGACAAUACCAGGCUUCCAACCAUCUUCAUAAUGCCGGUGGCUCCCCAGACUCACCUCACAUGACUUCUAUGCCUUAGUGUGGACGGCCUCUUCUCACUUGGCUCCCUUUUACCACCAGGGAGACUGCUGGUCUUGAUGGGCCUGACCAAAGAUCCUACCUAGGCUACUGCAAGAUCACUUGUUACUCAUGUGUACAUUUCAAUAAACUUCUCAAUGGUGGGAAGUGGGUAGGAAAGGUGA